AGGCUGUGGAGCUAACUAGUAAACAUCUGCUAGCUAACAGCUGGGUGUCUGCGGGCUCAAACACGCUUUAUCCCGCUGAGAAACCCAGCAAACCACCUGUCAAAACAAAAAGCAGUGUUUAAAGAAACACAACAGAUCCAGUAUUUUGGAGAGAAUCUUCAGAUGAGCAGCAGUUGACUGUCAGCGUAGAUCAGCUCCCCCCCAGGAUUACGAUGAGGCCGGCCUCAUUCCAAGCAGCGCGAUUCAACAGCGGAAGAGUGAUGUCGCCCCCCCCCUGCCGCUGGGACUCAACUAGGCGGAUCAGGGACGACCGCUCGGUGUAGGAGGAUCCCCUCGCGGGACCUCUCCCCAGCACUGGCUGGCCCUCACCGGGUGCAUUUCCUCCGUGGCGGUGCGCAGCGACAGGUGUUACACCGAAAUCUGUGACCGCAGAGAGCCAGCAACACGAGGUCACCAUUUCUGACGGCUGUCGUCAGAAAAUGUGACCACCCACUGUACCUGUAUAAUAAACAAGGCAAGUACGUGACAGAAAACACACAAAAUGAAAUUGUUAAAAAAUAUAAAUGUAUUUUAAUAUUAAUGUAAUUGAAAGAUAUAUUCACAAAACUCUAAAAGAAAAGUAAACUAAAAGUACAGUGGGGUCACAUUUUCUGACGACAGCUGUUAGAAAUGGUGACCUUAUGCGUCGCUGGCUCUCUGCGGUCACAGAUUUCGGUGUAACGCCGGCUUUAGGUCAGCCUUUAAAGGCCCGGGAUGAAGGUGGCUCAUACAGCCCCCCUUGCCUGGACCUCGCUGCUUCCCGGGCCGUGGACUUGGUGCUCGCUGCACCCUCUCUCCCUACGGGGAGGCACGGGGCCCCUGUCAAGGUGCGACUGGGGUGGACUGUCCUCAAUGCGCCGAUGCUCUCAAAGCGCACAAGUUUGAUGCAUAUUAAAAUGUACAAAAUGUUCUGCUCGGGGAGCAGGUGCCCGGACCCACCUGAAAACUCCUGUAUUUUUUCAAAUCACAAUAUACAUCAUAGAAAAAAAAAUAUUGCAAUGUCAGUUUUUUUUCCAAUAUCAUGCAGCUUUACACACCAUAGGGGUGCUAUCAUCCAUCCAUCCAUCCAUCUAUCCUCUA
Long non-coding RNA from Sebastes umbrosus (honeycomb rockfish), 1119 nucleotides. RefSeq lists it as uncharacterized. The record is from RefSeq and is a predicted model, not a curated record. The transcript is spliced from 3 exons. NCBI's taxonomy places the organism in Eukaryota, Metazoa, Chordata, Actinopteri, Perciformes, Sebastidae.